GUGUCAGCAGCCGCGGUAAUACGUAGGUCCCGAACGUUGCGCGGAUUUACUGGGCGUAAAGGGUCCGUAGGCGGUCUGGUAAGUGGGAGGUGAAAUCCUGGGGCUCAACUCCAGAAUUGCCCUCCAAACUGCCGGACUUGAGGCAGGGUGAGGUCGGCGGAAUUCCCGGUGUAGCGGUGAAAUGCGUAGAUACCGGGAGGAACACCAGUGGCGAAGGCGGCCGACUGGAACUGACCUGACACUGAGGGACGAAAGCCAGGGGAGCGAACCGGAUUAGAUACCCGGGUAGUCCUGGCCGUAAACGAUGGAUGCUAGAUGUGGGCGGGGAGACCCGUCCGUGUCGCAAGCUAACGCGUUAAGCAUCCCGCCUGGGGAGUACGGCCGCAAGGUUGAAACUUAAAUGAAUUGACGGGG
This 414-nucleotide ribosomal RNA is filed under the name uncultured prokaryote. RNAcentral describes it as "bacterial SSU rRNA". It matches the Rfam family "Bacterial small subunit ribosomal RNA", at positions 505 to 918 of the family's 1533-position model. The record is from RNAcentral.